UACGAAGGGGGCUAGCGUUGCUCGGAAUCACUGGGCGUAAAGGGUGCGUAGGCGGGUCUUUAAGUCAGGGGUGAAAUCCUGGAGCUCAACUCCAGAACUGCCCUUGAUACUGAAGGUCUUGAGGUCGGGAGAGGUGAGUGGAACUGCGAGUGUAGAGGUGAAAUUCGUAGAUAUUCGCAAGAACACCAGUGGCGAAGGCGGCUCACUGGCCCGAUACUGACGCUGAUGCACGAAAGCGUGGGGAGCAAACAGG
This 253-nucleotide ribosomal RNA is filed under the name uncultured bacterium. RNAcentral describes it as "partial 16S ribosomal RNA". It matches the Rfam family "Bacterial small subunit ribosomal RNA", at positions 524 to 776 of the family's 1533-position model. The record is from RNAcentral.